GCUUCAUUGUGGUUGGGGUCAGGUCUUCUUUUUUUGGUCUGAUUAAAGCUCUUUUCCUGCCGCUGCUCUUGGUUCAGCCAACGUUAAAACAAGUGUCACUAAAACAGCCACAGCGCCCCCUAUUGUUUACAUUGUUUAAUCAGAGUAUUGCACACUGUAUCGUUUUUAGGAUACGUCCUUACAUCCCUAUCGCUCUCUGCUACUGAUUCUCUCUUUCUCUUUGCAGGGAGACUGCAGGCACCAUCAGUCCAGACAGUAUGUUGAAGAAAAGCCUGCUCCCAGGCCCCUCCCUCUCCCCCUCCUCCUACGCCUGCUCCUCCGCCUGCUCCUCGUCCUCCUUCAGCUCAGAGAAUCCUUAUCGGCAGAGGCAGCUCCCGCUACGCGGCAGAGGCUCUCACGCUGAGGAGACGUCUGCUCUCGUCUCACCACACAAACACUCCAUUUCUAGAGGUGCUGACGGACGGUUUGCUCUCCCACUAUCUGAUGAUUGCACUCACAGUUUGAGGAGUGUGAGGAGCUCAGAGCAGAGCGGCGAGGAUGAGAGAACGCUGCCCUUUGUGGUGUCUGUAGACCUCCCCCCGUACCAGUUAAACGCUCAACAAUACGCGUCCUGUAGUGGUCCAAAAGGCUUCUCUGAUCUAAGCAGUACCUUACCUCGCUACCACAGAGAGGCCACGCCCACGCCCACCUUUCCGGUGCUCCCCCACCUGCGGGGUGCCCUAGGUCGGCCCUCGACCACCGUUAGUACGCUGGUGCUGCAGAUGGAGGAGGAGCGGGAGAGGAAGAACCUGAGCCGCUGUCUGCAGCUAGCCCAGGAGAGGGAGGAGCUAGAGCGCCAACUGCACAGGUACAGCCUGGGCCGGGAGUCCCUGAGGAGCCACACCCUCCCACGUGGACACGCCCCCCAAACAACCCCACCCCCUGAUGAAGGAUCAACGCUCCCACGUCGUCCCUUAAAGCGUCACAAACAGGAAGAAGCUGCAGAAAGCAGGAAGAACCACGGGAGGCCCCGCCCACACACUCCCGACACAGACACAUGUUUGGAGAUGUCUGUGGAUGAACCAGGAGAAGUUCUGCUGGUGAGAGACCGCGGCUCUCCUGACAGACGUAGGAGGACGUGGACCUCCAGGGUCACGGAUCCUCUGCAGCCCGUGGACCACUGGAGACCCCUAGUGUGGGAGUCAAAGAGGCGGAGUCAGAGUCUGGACUUAAGGAGACAGAGGAGAGGUCUUUUCCUGACUCCAGACGCCUGGAUCCACUCCCUGAGCCAGGAGAACUUCUCAUGGUGGAGACCUCCGAGCUCAGCUGAUCCAGCUCCAGGAACCAGUCCAGGAAUCAGCCCAGAGGGCCCCACACCACAGGAGGUCCCUGGUUCUUCUGUGCCCGUGAGGAACCAGGCCAGAUCUGGUCCUCAGGAGUCUGCUAGCAGCUACAGCAGCUAUGCUAGCAGUGGUAGAGGUAGCAUGGAGCCGACCAAUCACGGACUCUCUCCCUCUCGCCUCUCUCCGGCCCUCAGAGGGUCAGCAGACCCCCAGGGGGGCCCCCACAUGGAAAUGAAGCAGAGGUAGAAGAUCUCAGAUUACCUUCACAUUUAAACGUUUUUAACCAAACGUUUCAGGACUUAGUCUCUCUGUCGCUUAGUUUAAUGUAUGUUUAAAGGUGAUGCUAACGUGCUAACGUGCUAACCUUGCUCCACAGGAGGAAGACCUCAGUGGACGAAAACUAUGAGUGGGAUUCAACGGACAUCAGCACACACACUGGAGAGAAGGAUGGUAGGACACACACACACACACACACACACACACACACACACACACACACACACACACACACACACACACACACACACACACACACACACACACACACACAAAGCAGUUGUUCAGUCCUGAUUGUUUUUUGUUGUGUUUAUCUAUUUGUGAAUUUGUGUGUAUAAAGUGAUGUUCUACUAAUUGUGUGUGUGUGUCUUUGUAAAACUUUAG
Long non-coding RNA from Gouania willdenowi (blunt-snouted clingfish), 1982 nucleotides. The record is from Ensembl. NCBI's taxonomy places the organism in Eukaryota, Metazoa, Chordata, Actinopteri, Blenniiformes, Gobiesocidae.